Molecule: small nuclear RNA, 103 nt
Organism: Monodelphis domestica (gray short-tailed opossum)
Lineage: Eukaryota; Metazoa; Chordata; Mammalia; Didelphimorphia; Didelphidae
Source: Ensembl
GUGCUCCCUUCGGCAGUACAUAUACUAAAAUUGGAAUGAUACAGAGAGUAUCAGCAUAGCCCCUGUGCAAGGAUGAUACAGAGCAUCUACUGUCCUGGAUUUC